CCGGGCCCGCGGGCCCGCGGCCGGGACGCACAGCCGCCUCGGGGGCCGGAUUCCGAGCGCGGGGAUGGCGCCGGCCCCUUCCCCUUUCAGCUGGAGCUUGGCGUGUGCAUCAUAAUAUAAAGACGGCUUCUACCUAUAGUUUCAUGGUUACUCAAAACAGCGCUGUGAGAAGAUCAAGACCAGAAUCUGCUUCACCAGGAGGAGGACCAGAGAGGUGGCUGCUGCUCCAAAAUCUCCUGAUCAAUUAAAAGAUUAUCCCUCAUCCUCAGUACUUCCUAAAAUGAAUUUUGUUUCAUUAAUAUCCAGUUUUCAAAACAUUGGCAUGAGCCUAUCUUGUCCUGACCAGUAGCCGACAUCAAAAGCCGCAUUAAGUUUUGUUCCAAAGAUAAAGUGUUUUAAUAAUUUCUCUUUUAUCCUCUUGUGUCCCUUCCUUUCAUCUGUGUUGCAGCUUCGGUUUGCCAUUUACAAAUGUCAUGUUGAAAUUUUAUUGUAUGAAAAAUUAUCUCAAAAUAUUAGUGAAUUCACAAUUGCAAUCCGAUUUUGAAUGUCUUCAUUGUUUGUUUGUUUUGCCAAAAUUUAAUUUGAAUAUAUAUCAGGGUUGGUUUGAAUCAUUCAAUAAUAAAAUUCAUUUCAUACCUCUUAGAUACUUUCUUGAUUUUGAGUGUUUCCAUUUCUCCCCUUUUCU
Molecule: long non-coding RNA, 685 nt
Organism: Neofelis nebulosa (Clouded leopard)
Lineage: Eukaryota; Metazoa; Chordata; Mammalia; Carnivora; Felidae
Exons: 3
Source: RefSeq, a predicted model, not a curated record